This 253-nucleotide ribosomal RNA is filed under the name uncultured bacterium. Its description in RNAcentral is "partial 16S ribosomal RNA". It matches the Rfam family "Bacterial small subunit ribosomal RNA", at positions 524 to 776 of the family's 1533-position model. The record is from RNAcentral.
UACGUAGGGGGCAAGCGUUGUUCGGAUUUACUGGGCGUAAAGGGCGCGUAGGCGGCUUAUCAAGUCAAUUGUGAAAUCUCCGGGCUUAACCCGGAACGGUCAAUUGAUACUGAUAUGCUAGAGUGCAGAAAGGGCAACUGGAAUUCUUGGUGUAGCGGUGAAAUGCGUAGAUAUCAAGAGGAACACCAGAGGCGAAGGCGAGUUGCUAGGCUGACACUGACGCUGAGGCGCGAAAGCUAGGGGAGCGAACGGG